UUGAUCCCAAGGGAAUCGCUGGCUGGUCAAGGGCUAGAAGGAAGAGCUGACGUCCUCCAGCACCAUGGAAUCUGGCAAUGCACUGUGGACAGAAGCCCCCACCACCUCCACCUGCAGGUCCUUAACAAGCGCGUCAAACAAAUAUCCUCACAGUAGGAUCUCCUGAAUGUGAUGUCCCAUCUGUAUUCCUGAAGACAGAUGAAGGCGAUAAGAUCCUGCCCACAAAGUUUGCCUGUGAGAGCAGAGCGGUUUGGGUGCCCCGCGCAUUAACAAGGAUCCCGGGAUCAAGACCUGAACUGAAGUCAGAUGAUUAACCACGUGAGCCACCCCGGUGCCCUUGUCAAUGCUGGAUUUACAACUGGCUCAAAUUCUGAACCCAUGUUGAAUUAGUCGUGCCCCCCCCCCACCCCGUAUUCAGUUUUCUCUCCUCCACUCCUCCUUUGCUUGGGUUUGUGUCUUCCUGGAUAUACUUGUGGGCUGGGGGAGUGUCUUUUGCCCUGCUCCUCGUUCUCGGUUUUUUCUUCCAGAGAGUCUCAAAUCCGCAUCAUCAGCCCUGGGGCUUCUGUCGCGGCGAUGGUCGUAUGGUUUCCAGUCUCCUGGCGUAAGUCCAGGUCCCCGAUGAGAGAGAGAGACUCCUGCUCCAGACUUGUGGGACGCCCUGACACCCGACACGUGUGAUUGACAACAGUUUCCUAGUCACAGACCCUCGCGCUUCAGGGGAGGAGGAUACCACACACCGUGCAGGACUGCACAGACAUCGCGCGUGAGAACAGAGAGAACCAGCAGGGCCUCG
Molecule: long non-coding RNA, 793 nt
Organism: Neogale vison (American mink)
Lineage: Eukaryota; Metazoa; Chordata; Mammalia; Carnivora; Mustelidae
Exons: 4
Source: RefSeq, a predicted model, not a curated record